UUUGGCCUUUUGGCCAAGAUCAAGUGUAGUAUCUGUUCUUAACAGUUUAAUGUCUGAUAUGUCCUCUAUAAGGGGC
Pygocentrus nattereri (red-bellied piranha) is the source of this 76-nucleotide small nuclear RNA. Its record names the gene U2. It matches the Rfam family "U2 spliceosomal RNA". Rfam says of the family: U2 is a small nuclear RNA (snRNA) component of the spliceosome (involved in pre-mRNA splicing). Complementary binding between U2 snRNA (in an area lying towards the 5' end but 3' to hairpin I) and the branchpoint sequence (BPS) of the intron results the bulging out of an unpaired adenosine, on the BPS, which initiates a nucleophilic attack at the intronic 5' splice site, thus starting the first of two transesterification reactions that mediate splicing. Lineage: Eukaryota; Metazoa; Chordata; Actinopteri; Characiformes; Serrasalmidae. The record is from Ensembl.